GAUGAACGCUGGCGGCGUGCCUAAUACAUGCAAGUCGAACGAACAGACGAUCAGCUUUGUCGUCGGAUUUAGGCGGGAGACGGUUGAUUAAACCGUGGUAAACUGACCUAUACGCCUGGGUUAAUGUCUGAAAAGGCGGGCUAUACGCGGUGUAUCUAUUGGUCCGCAUGGGUCAGGAGUGGAUGGCUGCUUUUCUGUCACUUUUGGAGGGGUCUGCGCCGCCUUAGCUAGUUGGUAAGGUAACGGCUUACCAAGGCAACGAUGCGUAGCCGGCCGGCGUGGGUGAGCGGCCAGCCUGGAAGUGAGACACGGACGAGACUCCGACGGGAGGCAGCAGUCGGGAGUCGUUAGCAAUGGGCGAAAGCCUGACGGAGGAAGGGCGCGUGAGUGAUGAAGGUAUUCGGAUCGUAAAACUCUGUUAUUAGGGAAGAACAAAUGUGUAAGUAACUGUGCACGGGUUGACGGUAGCUGAUCAGAAAGCGACGGCUAACUACGUG
This 497-nucleotide ribosomal RNA is filed under the name uncultured bacterium. Its description in RNAcentral is "partial 16S ribosomal RNA". It matches the Rfam family "Bacterial small subunit ribosomal RNA", at positions 28 to 507 of the family's 1533-position model. The record is from RNAcentral.